This 486-nucleotide ribosomal RNA is filed under the name uncultured Bacillota bacterium. Its description in RNAcentral is "bacterial SSU rRNA". It matches the Rfam family "Bacterial small subunit ribosomal RNA", at positions 355 to 834 of the family's 1533-position model. Lineage: Bacteria; Bacillati; Bacillota. The record is from RNAcentral.
UAGGGAAUCUUCGGCAAUGGGCGAAAGCCUGACCGAGCAACGCCGCGUGAGCGAUGAAGGCCUUCGGGUCGUAAAGCUCUGUUGUUAGAGAAGAACAAGUACGAGAGUAACUGCUCGUACCUUGACGGUACCUAACCAGAAAGCCACGGCUAACUACGUGCCAGCAGCCGCGGUAAUACGUAGGUGGCAAGCGUUAUCCGGAAUUAUUGGGCGUAAAGCGCGCGCAGGCGGUCUCUUAAGUCUGAUGUGAAAGCCCACGGCUCAACCGUGGAGGGUCAUUGGAAACUGGGAGACUUGAGUGCAGGAGAGAAAAGUGGAAUUCCACGUGUAGCGGUGAAAUGCGUAGAGAUGUGGAGGAACACCAGUGGCGAAGGCGGCUUUUGGUCCUGUAACUGACGCUGAGGCGCGAAAGCGUGGGGAGCAAACAGGAUUAGAUACCCUGGUAGUCCACGCCGUAACGAUGAGUGCUAGGUGUUGGGGGGUUCC